This 522-nucleotide ribosomal RNA is filed under the name uncultured bacterium. RNAcentral's name for it is "bacterial SSU rRNA". It matches the Rfam family "Bacterial small subunit ribosomal RNA", at positions 988 to 1509 of the family's 1533-position model. The record is from RNAcentral.
CCAGAGAACUUAGCAGAGAUGCUUUGGUGCCUUCGGGAACUCUGAGACAGGUGCUGCAUGGCUGUCGUCAGCUCGUGUUGNGUAAAUGUUGGGUUAAGUCCCGCAACGAGCGCAACCCUUAUCCUUUGUUGCCAGCGAUUCGGUCGGGAACUCAAAGGAGACUGCCGGUGAUAAACCGGAGGAAGGUGGGGAUGACGUCAAGUCAUCAUGGCCCUUACGGCCAGGGCUACACACGUGCUACAAUGGCGCAUACAAAGAGAAGCGACCUCGCGAGAGCAAGCGGACCUCAUAAAGUGCGUCGUAGUCCGGAUUGGAGUCUGCAACUCGACUCCAUGAAGUCGGAAUCGCUAGUAAUCGUAGAUCAGAAUGCUACGGUGAAUACGUUCCCGGGCCUUGUACACACCGCCCGUCACACCAUGGGAGUGGGUUGCAAAAGAAGUAGGUAGCUUAACCUUCGGGAGGGCGCUUACCACUUUGUGAUUCAUGACUGGGGUGAAGUCGUAACAAGGUAGGCGUAGAUGA